CGGGUGAGUAACACGUGGAUAACCUACCUAUAAGACUGGGAUAACUUCGGGAAACCGUAGCUAAUACCGGAUAAUAUUUUGAACCGCAUGGUUCAAAAGUGAAAGACGGUCUUGCUGUCACUUAUAGAUGGAUCCGCGCUGCAUUAGCUAGUUGGUAAGGUAACGGCUUACCAAGGCAACGAUGCAUAGCCGACCUGAGAGGGUGAUCGGCCACACUGGAACUGAGACGCGGUCCAG
This 237-nucleotide ribosomal RNA is filed under the name uncultured Staphylococcus sp. RNAcentral's name for it is "partial 16S ribosomal RNA". It matches the Rfam family "Bacterial small subunit ribosomal RNA", at positions 103 to 334 of the family's 1533-position model. The record is from RNAcentral. Lineage: Bacteria; Bacillati; Bacillota; Bacilli; Caryophanales; Staphylococcaceae.